RNA transcript from Calypte anna (Anna's hummingbird), 3511 nucleotides. It is a transcript of the gene named sterile alpha motif domain containing 4A, with no coding region annotated. Lineage: Eukaryota; Metazoa; Chordata; Aves; Apodiformes; Trochilidae. The transcript has 13 exons. The record is from RefSeq and is a predicted model, not a curated record.
CCUCCUCCUCCUCCCCCGCACACUCACCACCCCCCCCCCCCCUGGGGCCGGUAUGAGUCAGAGGUGUCUUCACCAUGAUGUUUCGAGACCAGGUCGGCGUGUUGGCCGGAUGGUUCAAGGGCUGGAACGAGUGCGAGCAGACUGUUGCGUUGCUCUCCCUGCUGAAACGCGUCAGCCGGACCCAGGCUCGUUUCCUCCAGCUCUGCCUGGAGCACUCCCUGGCAGACUGCACCGAGCUCCACAUCCUCGAAGGGGAGCCAACAACCCCGGAAUCAUUAACCAGUGGCAACAGGAAUCCAAGGAUAAAGUGAUAUCCCUCUUGUUAACCCACCUGCCUUUACUCAAGCCCGGAAACAUCGAGGCAAAAGUCGAAUACAUGAAACUCUUGCCUAAAAUCCUGGCCCACUCCAUCGAACACAAUCAACACAUCGAGGAGAGCCGGCAGCUGCUCUCCUACGCCUUGAUCCACCCCGCCACCUCCUUGGAGGACCGCAGCGCCCUGGCCAUGUGGCUCAACCACUUGGAGGACCGCACGUCGGGUGGCUCGGGUGGCUUUGGAAGCCAGAGCAGAGCCCGCUCGGAUUCGGUGGAUUACGGGCAGCAGCCCCACUACUAUCACCAAAGACAAAACUCCGAUGACAAACUCAACGGGUGGCAGAACUCCCGAGACUCGGGCAUAAGCGUCAGCGCUUCCAGCUGGCAGGACAAAAACCUGGCGUGUGAGAACGGCCACCUGCCCCUCUACUCCUCCUCCUCCGUCCCCACAACCAUCAACACCAUUGGCACUAGCACAAGCACCAUUCUCUCAGGCCAGACACACCACAGCCCUUUGAAACGCUCUGUGUCCCUUACCCCACCCAUGAAUGUGCCAAACCAACCUCUAGGACAUGGAUGGAUGUCUCAUGAGGACUUACGAGCUAGAGGACCCCAGUGCAUCCCUUCCGAUCAUGCCCCCCUGUCUCCACAAAGCAGUGUAGCCUCUUCAGGAAGUGGUGGGAGUGAACAUUUAGAAGAUCAGCCUUCUGCUCGUAACACAUUCCAGGAGGAAGGGAGUGGGAUGAAAGAUGUCCCAGCCUGGCUGAAGAGCCUCAGGCUGCACAAGUAUGCUGCCCUCUUCUCACAGAUGACAUAUGAGGAGAUGAUGGCCCUCACUGAAUGCCAGCUUGAGGCACAGAACGUUACCAAAGGUGCAAGACACAAAAUAGUCAUCAGUAUCCAAAAGCUAAAAGAAAGACAAAACCUGCUCAAGUCUUUAGAAAGGGACAUCCUGGAAGGUGGCAACUUGCGUGUCCCGCUGCAGGAGCUACACCAAAUGAUCCUCACCCCCAUCAAAGCUUACUCUUCCCAAAACUCCAGCACGGAGGAGCACAGCCGGGACACUGAUUCCCAUCACCCUUCCUCCCUGCUGGGCUCUGACACCCAAGGUUCUGACUGCAAGGACUCAGCAGCAGCAGCAGCAGCAGCAGCAGGGGGGAUGCAGCAGCACCAUUUACCGGGAUGCGAGGGCGAGUCGGGGGGUGGCCCUUUGCCUGAAGGUGACCUGCCUGGACAGUUCACCAGAGUGAUGGGGAAAGUAUGCACACAACUUUUAGUUUCCCGCCCUGAUGAAGAGAAUAUAAGUUCCUAUUUACAGCUCAUAGACAAAUGUCUAAUCCACGAGGCGUUUACAGAGAUCCAGAAGAAGAGGCUGCUGUCAUGGAAACAGCAGGUGCAGAAACUCUUCCGGUCUUUCCCUCGGAAAUCCCUCCUGGAGCUGUCGGGCUAUCGGCAGCAGAGGAGCCGAGGCUUUGGGCAGUCAAACUCCUUACCCACAGCCGGAUCUGCAGGGGCAGGACUGGGCCGGAGGAACCCCCGCCAGUUCCAGAUCCCCUCCCGGAACCUCCCCACCGCCCGCCUGGGGCUGCUGGGCCCCACUGGGCUCCUGGGCACCCCCCAGCGCAGCCCCGCCGCCAGCCCCGCCAUCCUCAAGCAAGGCAGACAGAACCUCUGGUUUGCCAACCCUGGGGGCAGCAACAGCAUGCCCAGCCGGAGCCACAGCUCGGUGCAGAGGACGCGCUCGCUGCCGGUCCACACCUCCCCGCAGACCAUGCUGAUGUUUCAGCAGCCAGAGUUCCAGGUGCCGGUGACUGAACCUGACAUCAACAACAGGCUGGAGUCCCUGUGCCUGAGCAUGACGGAGCACGCGCUCAGCGGUGAGCACUCCCUCCUCCUCGGCCUCUUCCAGCACGUCCAUGCCACCGAGCCCCCCGCCACCUGCCCCCCACCCCCCAAAACCUGGGACAGGCUGUGGCUGUGAGGGGACGGGAUGGACGGAUGCUCCCAGGGAGGGGAAUGCUCCCGAGGGCAGUCGGAGUGGGGACGGUGACAUCUCUGGGCAAAGCUGCCGAGGCAGAGGGAUAAAAAACGGACGCAGGGAUCGCACCCGGCACGAGUGGAGUCCGUGCUUAUUAGCCACUAGUUAAUAAUGCUAAUAAUCAUUAGCAUUAGCUCGCUAGUUUGUUUUAUUAGUUCUCCAUAAAACCCUCGCCACCACCGGAGCACUCCAACGCUUCGCAGGUUUGGGAGUGUUUUACCUUUUUUUUUUUUUUUUUUUUUUUUUUUUGUCACCCGUGUCCCUCCUCGUUUUGGCCGGGGGGUGCGGGAGCCCCGGGGGCACCAGGGGGUAAAGCAGCAGCUCCAGGGGUUUGCUGGGGCUGUGCCAGCUCCUCCUCGCCUGGGGCAGAUCCGGGGGCACUGGGGAGGGAGCAGGACCAGGUGGAAAACCAGGUUGGGAAGAUUGGAAAACGCGACGGCAGCGGGAUGGAGAGGCCAGCACAGCAAAAAGCACCAGCACCAGAAGCACCCGGUGCCCCCUGAGCCAUGCAGCAGACCCCCCCCAAGAAUGAAGGAGGACACCCUGGUGAUGGGACAAGCAUCUCCUCCGUCUUCUGGACGAGCUCUCCAGAGCAUCCCCACCCCCCAGUAUCCAGCUGGGGUCUCACCCCUGGACUGCGUCCGACGGUGGGAGCGGAGCCCUCGGGGAGGAUGCUGCUGCGGGGAUCCCACCUCUGGCACGGGCUCCCUGCAGCGAUGGGACAGCCCCCUCCUGGGGACAGGGACAUCAGAAGGAGGACUGUCAGAGGCAGCAGGGCCCUGGCAGUGCCACGGCCACAGCCCCGGCUGGGAAAACGAGGACACUUCUGUCACCCGAAGCGUUUCUCCGGCGUGUGCCCAGGAGAGGCUUAGCUGUCUUGUUCCUCUGCAGGAUGGUGUGGACCGAACCUCCACGAUCUAGAAGGUGUCGGGACGGGGCGGGGCCGCUGGCCGGGACAACAACUGCUGCGGGUCCAGCGGCGAGGUCGGGGCUCAGAGGGAGCCUCAGAGACAGCUUUGCAUCCUUCCUCCUCUCUCUCCUCUCUUUCUCUCUCUCUUUUCUCUCUCUCUUUCUCUCUUUUCUCUCCUGUUUUAAUUUUUUGUGAAUGUGUAGAUUGUCCUCGUGAACAUAUCAUUAGACUUGGAAUUUGUGUUGUCA